RNAcentral lists this transfer RNA (86 nucleotides) under Candidatus Heimdallarchaeota archaeon. Its description in RNAcentral is "tRNA-Leu". It matches the Rfam family "tRNA". Rfam says of the family: Transfer RNA (tRNA) molecules are approximately 80 nucleotides in length. Their secondary structure includes four short double-helical elements and three loops (D, anti-codon, and T loops). Further hydrogen bonds mediate the characteristic L-shaped molecular structure. tRNAs have two regions of fundamental functional importance: the anti-codon, which is responsible for specific mRNA codon recognition, and the 3' end, to which the tRNAs corresponding amino acid is attached (by aminoacyl-tRNA synthetases). tRNAs cope with the degeneracy of the genetic code in two manners: having more than one tRNA (with a specific anti-codon) for a particular amino acid; and 'wobble' base-pairing, i.e. permitting non-standard base-pairing at the 3rd anti-codon position. Lineage: Archaea; Promethearchaeati; Candidatus Heimdallarchaeota. The record is from RNAcentral.
GCGGGGGUGUCCUAGUGGUCAAGGGAGUAGCGCUGAGGCCGCUAUGGCGAAGGCCUUCGAGGGUUCGAAUCCCUUCCCCCGCACCA